This 303-nucleotide ribosomal RNA is filed under the name uncultured bacterium. Its description in RNAcentral is "partial 16S ribosomal RNA". It matches the Rfam family "Bacterial small subunit ribosomal RNA", at positions 507 to 807 of the family's 1533-position model. The record is from RNAcentral.
AGCAGUCGCCGCGGUAAUACGAAGGGGGCUAGCGUUGCUCGGAAUGACUGGGCGUAAAGGGCGCGUAGGCGGAAGUGACAGUCAGAUGUGAAAUUCCUGGGCUUAACCUGGGGGCUGCAUUUGAUACGUUACAUCUAGAGUUCGGAAGAGGGUCGUGGAAUUCCCAGUGUAGAGGUGAAAUUCGUAGAUAUUGGGAAGAACACCGGUGGCGAAGGCGGCGACCUGGUCCGGGACUGACGCUGAGGCGCGAAAGCGUGGGGAGCAAACAGGAUUAGAUACCCCUGUAGUCCCUGUCUCUUAUAC